CAGGGAGUGGAGCCAAAUUGUCUGGUCAAGGGUGUGUGGGGAGGGUGUGGGGCACCAGGAAGGUGGAGGGAGUUUUCUACAGUGUAUCAAAUACAGAAAAUUUCAACGAAAACUGAAGCCAAAGCAUCAUCACAACGGAAUUCUGAGGGGGUUAUUCUGGGCAUCAAGUUUAUUUAUUUUUUACACCCAGAAACUGUGGGAUUGAAUUUGACAUCAAGGUUUCUUCUGUUCCAGUAACUGCUUUGGAUUAAGUCAAAGAUGCAGUACUUACAGGAUCAGCUGAAUUUAUGGGAUGCCUCCUUUCUUGAAGCCCAACAGCAGACCUAAGAUCAGCAUUUAAAACUUUUCUCCAAAUCUUUGUCAUUAUAUGCUAAGACCACACCAGAUCAGGAACUAUACAUAUGAAUUCAGUUGGUUCAGCUGUAUAUCAGCUUGGCAAUGAAGCCCAUAACAUCCAAUAUUCAGUUUUCCAUCAAGUAUGACGAAGUUAAAUGUCUAUUGCAUGUGUUAAGUAAACGGCAAAUGUAUGUAAAUUCUGAGGAUUGACAGAGGCUGAGAUUAGAGGGUGUGACAUCCUGUACUGAACACAGAGUCAAUAAAGGAGUGAUGAAUGGUCAAUAUUAAGGAAUUCAGAAAGCAAGCAGUUGGAGUAAAUAUAAAUGUGAUUUAAGGACAGAGACUACAAGAGAGAAAUGAAUCUUUACACAAAAAUAGAGUGUUUGGAUUCACUCCAUACUACAAUGUUGUUGUUUUUUCUUAUUUAGCCUUUUAAAUUAAUUUAAAAGGCUAAAUAAGAAAUUAACUUAAAUUCAUAUAAAUUAACCUAAAUUGAUAUUAUAGUUACUGCAUUUUAAUGGUCUUAAACUCAAAUUCAUUCAGCAAUCUUUAAAGUGAGACUGGAAUUUUUUAUUAUAUUAAAUCUUUCCUGGUGAGCACAAACUGCCUUUUCAAAAAUAAAAGAGGGAUGCAGGAGAUGCUCGGAGCAGGAAACAAGUCACGGCAGUGAAGUGCUCUUGUCCCUUUCUCUGAAAAGCUCUCCAGAUAAAAAGUGGCUCACUUUAAAUACCAUGUUACCUCAUGUAUCAAACCUUCAAUUCAUUUCUUCCUUCUAAACCUGAUCCCAGGUUCUUUCACAUGAUGGGAGAAAAACCUCAAGAGAGCAAUAAGAAAUUAAUAAUUAAAAAAUUAUAAUAUUAAUGUUAAAAUUUUAUUUUUCUUAGGUUGAACAUGCUGCCACCACCAACUUCCCUAAGCAUCUGCUACACGAUUUAGCCUUCUAUAUGAGACAAAUUACUUCUGUUCCUUCUAUUCAACAGCCUGCACUUCUGCCUAGUUUCCACAACAGCCUUUGUCUUUUUAAAAAUCUUUACACAAUGUUUUGAGUAAGAGCCAUUGUUCCCUGAACUUACAACUCCAGGAAUCAGUCAAUUCAGGGAAGAGGCUUAUUUUAUGCUAAGUUCAAAAUGUUUUCUUUAUGUUCUUGAUGAAAUUGUGUCAUCCAAAUUUUCAUUCAGCCCUCAAACAUGUGGAGACUUACCUAAAACAGAGACUUUCUUCAGACCUGCUGGAACUCUGACCUCUCAACUUUGACCUGGAACAGAAGUCAUCAUGCCCCAUGCAAAACCCCCAGAUCACCCUGUGACGAUGAUGAUACCAUUUACUCCUGUGUUACUGUCCUUAUAUUGUGUUUUAUAUCACUGUAUUCAUGUCAUAUAAAUGGAGAUCAUAAUAGUCCAUGCAAUAAGCAGUGCCCUCAGUGUCUAUAUAACAUUGGGAAAUGAAAGCCAAAAACUGAUCCCAGUAAGCACAGUCUCUUAAUUUCUAUACCUAUGACUUCAGACGUAUGCACCUCUGUACAAUGUGCUGUAAGGCACAGAUACAGAUGAAAUAUCCUAAAAAUACUUGUUUUAUUUCGAAAAAGGUAAACGUAAACCGUGUCACCAUGUAAAACUGUGUGUAGUGUGGAUUAUGUCUGUGAAAUGUGUGAAAGGUAGAAGGGUAAAAAAAUAGCCAACUACAUCAUUACUAAUGCUUUAGACAUUAAUGCUGACCCACCACAGAUGGAACAGGUUGGGCAAGGACAUGUGAAGGUUUCCUGUCAAACCAACUGUGUUUUUGAACGUCUAAUGUGCCAUCAUGUGUAAUCACAGUCUACAGGACUGUUCAGACAGUGGUGCUGGGAAACUUGUCCCAUAUUUAAAAAAAAAAACAAAACAAACAAAAAAAAAAACAACACACAUUUAAAUGAUUGGAUUAUUGCACUUGUAUGAAUUUUCCAUGUCACCAUCCUUUAGAAAACCGAUUCCCAACCCUGGUCUUGGAAUACUUCAUGUCCUGCACAUUUUAAUGUUUUCCCUGCUCCCAACACAUUUGAUUCAACUAGUCAGCUAAUAAAGAGCUCUACAUACGUUGACAUGGGUGAGCAGGGAAAGCGCAAAGUUGUGCAGGACCAGGGCUGGUUGGUUCACCAAGAAGCAGUGCUGUGCUGCCCUCUAGAGGGUUUGGGUGCAAUGAAAAGCCUUUGUUUUGACCAGCACUACUUAAGAAUACUGAAAGAAUAUCUGUUAGUCCCCACGCCGGAUGUAACAUAUGUGAUAAGACAUUAAGCCACUGCUGAUCUAUGAUAUCGGCCGAACCUUCCCAUGGCUGCAAAUGAAUUUUGCUGUCAUUUCACUGCAUAACAGCAAAAUUAGCAUCUAAUUGAUCAAUAAACAUGAGUUGGCAAUUCAAUGGAGAACACAGUCUGGCAACUGAGAGUUAAGGGACAUGGACAACAAAGCUGAAAACCAGACCAAGAAACACAGUAGGUUUCAGGUACAUCAAGUUUUAGAGUCCUUAAGAACUAAUUUAUAUAGCUACCCUAAAAUGCCAUGGUCAUUUACUGUUGAGAUGUCUAUUCUAGCAACUAUUAAUUAAAUUUCAGGGUUUAACCUUGUUAUUCUAUUCAAGUCCUUGUCGUAGCUUGUCUUUAAAUGUCUGAGAUUAUAUUGGUCUUCAUGUGGUCAAGUAGGGGUUCUGGAGGAAAAAUGGCCACUGUUCCUGUCAAUGAAAAUGUCUUCGUGUUUACUGAAAUUCCAUUUUUGAAGUUCUUUUUUUUUCUCUCUUGCUGUGUUAGCAUGUUUGUGUUUAACCAAUUUUCAAUAGACACCUGGAAAGCAAGGUUCUGACUGUAGUGCUUGUUUAAUAAACAGUUGCUGACUUUU
This is a long non-coding RNA of Pangasianodon hypophthalmus (striped catfish), 3203 nucleotides long. RefSeq lists it as uncharacterized. Lineage: Eukaryota; Metazoa; Chordata; Actinopteri; Siluriformes; Pangasiidae. The transcript is spliced from 2 exons. The record is from RefSeq and is a predicted model, not a curated record.